Molecule: ribosomal RNA, 484 nt
Filed under: uncultured bacterium
Lineage: Bacteria
Description: partial 16S ribosomal RNA
Rfam family: Bacterial small subunit ribosomal RNA
Source: RNAcentral
AUUGAACGCUGGCGGCAGGCCUAACACAUGCAAGUCGAGCGGAUGAAGGGAGCUUGCUCCUGGAUUCAGCGGCGGACGGGUGAGUAAUGCCUAGGAAUCUGCCUGGUAGUGGGGGAUAACGUCCGGAAACGGGCGCUAAUACCGCAUACGUCCUGAGGGAGAAAGUGGGGGAUCUUCGGCCCCCCGCCUUUAGGAUGACCCUAGGUCGGAUUAGCUAGUUGGUGGGGUAAAGGCCUACCAAGGCGACGAUCCGUAACUGGUCUGAGAGGAUGAUCAGUCACACUGGAACUGAGACACGGUCCAGACUCCUACGGGAGGCAGCAGUGGGGAAUAUUGGACAAUGGGCGAAAGCCUGAUCCAGCCAUGCCGCGUGUGUGAAGAAGGUCUUCGGAUUGUAAAGCACUUUAAGUUGGGAGGAAGGGCAGUAAGUUAAUACCUUGCUGUUUUGACGUUACCAACAGAAUAAGCACCGGCUAACUUCGUG